RNAcentral lists this ribosomal RNA (389 nucleotides) under Klebsiella pneumoniae. Its description in RNAcentral is "partial 23S ribosomal RNA". It matches the Rfam family "Bacterial large subunit ribosomal RNA", at positions 2554 to 2925 of the family's 2925-position model. Lineage: Bacteria; Pseudomonadati; Pseudomonadota; Gammaproteobacteria; Enterobacterales; Enterobacteriaceae. The record is from RNAcentral.
UGAAGUAGGUCCCAAGGGUAUGGCUGUUCGCCAUUUAAAGUGGUACGCGAGCUGGGUUUAGAACGUCGUGAGACAGUUCGGUCCCUAUCUGCCGUGGGCGCUGGAGAAUUGAGGGGGGCUGCUCCUAGUACGAGAGGACCGGAGUGGACGCAUCACUGGUGUUCGGGUUGUCAUGCCAAUGGCACUGCCCGGUAGCUAAAUGCGGAAGAGAUAAGUGCUGAAAGCAUCUAAGCACGAAACUUGCCCCGAGAUGAGUUCUCCCUGAGACUAUAAGUCUCCUGAAGGAACGUUGAAGACGACGACGUUGAUAGGCCGGGUGUGUAAGCGCAGCGAUGCGUUGAGCUAACCGGUACUAAUGAACCGUGAGGCUUAACCUUACAACGCCGAAG